GAUGAAGGAACGCAGCGAAAUGCGAUACGUAAUGUGAAUUGCAGAAUUCAGUGAAUCAUCGAAUCUUUGAACGCAUAUUGCGCUCUCUGGUAUUCCGGAGAGCAUGCUUGUUUGAGUAUCAGUAAACACCUCAACUUCCAUAUCUUUUUUGAAAUGGGAGUUGGACUUGAGUGAUCCCAACGCUUUUCCUCACCGAAAAGUGGCGGGUUACUUGAAAUGCAGGUGCAGCUGGACUUUUCUCUGAGCUAUAAGCAUGUCUAUUUAGUCUGCCUAAAAAACAGAUUAUUACCUUUGCUGCAGCUAACAUAAAGGAGAUUAGUUCUUGUGCUGACUGAUGCAGGAUUCACAAAGACGGCUUCGGCCGACUUUGUAAACUCGAUCUCAAAUCAAGUAAGACUACCCGCUGAACUUAAGCAUAUCAAUAAGCGGAGGA
RNAcentral lists this unclassified non-coding RNA (433 nucleotides) under soil metagenome. Its description in RNAcentral is "partial contains 5.8S ribosomal RNA, internal transcribed spacer 2, and large subunit ribosomal RNA". The stretch from base 1 to 121 matches the Rfam family "5.8S ribosomal RNA", at positions 35 to 154 of the family's 154-position model. The record is from RNAcentral.